AUUGAACGCUGGCGGCAUGCUUUACACAUGCAAGUCGAACGGUAACAGCACUUCGGUGGCUGACGAGUGGCGAACGGGUGAGUAAUACAUCGGAACGUGCCUAGUAGUGGGGGAUAACUACUCGAAAGAGUAGCUAAUACCGCAUGAGAUCUAAGGAUGAAAGCAGGGGACCUUCGGGCCUUGCGCUACUAGAGCGGCUGAUGGCAGAUUAGGUAGUUGGUGGGAUAAAAGCUUACCAAGCCGACGAUCUGUAGCUGGUCUGAGAGGACGACCAGCCACACUGGGACUGAGAGACGGCCCAGACUCCUACGGGAGGCAGCAGUGGGGAAUGUUGGACAAUGGGCGCAAGACUGAUCCAGCAAUGCCGCGUGCAGGAUGAAGGCCUUCGGGUUGUAAACUGCUUUUGUACGGAACGAAAAGCCCUCUUCUAAUACAGGAGGGUCAUGACGGUACCGUAAGAAUAAGCACCGGCUAACUACGUG
Molecule: ribosomal RNA, 482 nt
Filed under: uncultured bacterium
Lineage: Bacteria
Description: partial 16S ribosomal RNA
Rfam family: Bacterial small subunit ribosomal RNA
Source: RNAcentral